GUACGCUAUUCAGAGUUUGAUCCUGGCUCAGAACGAACGCUGGCGGCGCGUCUUAAGCAUGCAAGUCGAGCGGUAAGGAGGUAGCUUGCUACUUCCCUAGAGCGGCGGACUGGUGAGUAACGCGUGGGUGACGUACCCUUUGGUUGGGGAUAGCCGGUAGAAAUACCGGGUAAUACCGAAUAAGACCUCUAGUAGAAAGAUUAGAGAGGAAAGCGGCUUCGGCCGCGCCGAAGGAACGGCCCGCGUACUAUUAGCUAGUUGGUGAGGUAACGGCCCACCAAGGCGACGAUAGUUAUCCGGCCUAAGAGGGUGAACGGACACAUUGGGACUGAGAUACGGCCCAG
RNAcentral lists this ribosomal RNA (344 nucleotides) under uncultured bacterium. RNAcentral describes it as "bacterial SSU rRNA". It matches the Rfam family "Bacterial small subunit ribosomal RNA", at positions 1 to 334 of the family's 1533-position model. The record is from RNAcentral.